This 169-nucleotide unclassified non-coding RNA is filed under the name soil metagenome. Its description in RNAcentral is "partial internal transcribed spacer 1". The record is from RNAcentral.
AUGUGUUUGGACUUUUGUCCUUCAUCCCGACGCUGUGCGCCUUUCGAGGCUGCACGCCGAAGGAGCAUAUAUCCACACCUGUGCACAUACACGGUGGUGGGGCUUGAUUGCCUCGCCGCUGCUUCACACACGUCUUAACAGUCUUGUAUGUUUUAUAUCAUAUUAUACA